AACGAACGCUGGCGGCAUGCUUAACACAUGCAAGUCGAACGAGAAAGGGGGGCAACCCCCGAGUAAAGUGGCGCACGGGUGAGUAACACGUGGGUAAUCUGCCUCUGGGUGGGGAAUAACUCUGGGAAACCGGAGCUAAUACCGCAUAAGCCUGCAAGGGGAAAGGCGAAAGUCGCCGAGAGAGGAGCCCGCGGUCGAUUAGCUAGUUGGUGGGGUAAAGGCUCACCAAGGCAGUGAUCGAUAGCCGGCCUGAGAGGGCACACGGCCACACUGGCACUGAAACACGGGCCAGACUCCUACGGGAGGCAGCAGUGGGGAAUCUUGCACAAUGGGGGAAACCCUGAUGCAGCGACGCCGCGUGAGCGAUGAAGCCCUUCGGGGUGUAAAGCUCUUUCGGCAGGGACGAUAAUGACGGUACCUGAAGAAGAAGCUGCGGCUAACUACGUGCCAGCAGCCGCGGUAAUACGUAGGCAGCGAGCGUUGUUCGGAGUUACUGGGCGUAAGGAGUGCGUAGGCUGUGGUCCAAGUCUGGUGUGAAAAUCUCCCGGCUCAACCGGGAGGGUGCGCCGGAAAACUGGGCUGCUGGAGUGCCGGAGAGGCAGGCGGAAUUCCCGGUGUAGCGGUGAAAUGCGUAGAUAUC
Molecule: ribosomal RNA, 640 nt
Filed under: uncultured bacterium
Lineage: Bacteria
Description: bacterial SSU rRNA
Rfam family: Bacterial small subunit ribosomal RNA
Source: RNAcentral